CAAAACAAUUAGAGCAUUUGUUUAUGGAGCAGACAGUACAGUCAUUGAAUUACUUAUUAUUUUGAAGAUCAAGGACGCUUUUUGUCGUUUGCCGACGACACGACUGGUCAGGCGUGGUCGUAACUUGCACUAUAUAAGCUGACAGUACUCGCCAUUUGAUUAUUAUCAACUGUGAUAAGUCCACAUAACACUUUGAAAAUGUUCUUCAGACUGUUCGCCGUCUUCGCUCUGUUGGCUGUAGCCUUCGCCAGCCCGAAGCCCGACAUCGUGACCUACUCUGCUCCCGGAGUGUACCCUCUGACAUACUCUGCGUACUCCGCUCCAGUGGCCUAUUCCGCGCCCUACGCCGCCGCACCUGUACCCUACGCCUACUCCGGUUACUACUUCAAAUGAUCAGCUCAUACCCCUGUACCUGAUUUCGACAACUCCACUAUGACCUGAUGUGUAUAAUAUAGUUCUUUCUGCAUACAACUUGUUUAUUAUUUCUCUUUUUAACGUACUCUACGCCUACCCUCUGACGUAUUCUGCAUACCCCGCUCCAGUGGGCUAUUCCGCGCCCUACGCCGUCGCACCUGUACCCUAUGCCUACUCCGGUUACUACUUCAAAUGAUCAGCUCAUAGGUACCCCUGUACCUAAUUUCGACUACUCCAAUAUGACCUGACGUGUAUAAUAUAGUUCUUUCUGCAUAUAACUUGUUUAUUAUUUCUUUUUGAUUAAGUUACGUUAAUGUACUCUACGCUUACCCUCUGACGUACUCAGCGUACUCCGCUCCAGUGGCCUAUUCCGCGCCCUACGCCGCCGCACCUGUACCCUACGCCUACUCCGGUUACUACUUCAAAUGAUCAGCUCAUACCCCUGUACCUGAUUUCGACAACUCCACUAUGACCUGACGUGUAUAAUAUAGUUCUUUCUGCAUACAA
This is a long non-coding RNA of Ostrinia nubilalis (European corn borer), 921 nucleotides long. RefSeq lists it as uncharacterized. The record is from RefSeq and is a predicted model, not a curated record. NCBI's taxonomy places the organism in Eukaryota, Metazoa, Arthropoda, Insecta, Lepidoptera, Crambidae. The transcript has 2 exons.